CUUUUAAGGGAUAGAAGCAAUCCAUUGGUUUUAGAAACCAUCCACCCU
RNAcentral lists this transfer RNA (48 nucleotides) under Trachemys callirostris. Its description in RNAcentral is "Trachemys venusta callirostris partial tRNA-Leu". Lineage: Eukaryota; Metazoa; Chordata; Testudines; Emydidae. The record is from RNAcentral.